Molecule: ribosomal RNA, 253 nt
Filed under: uncultured bacterium
Lineage: Bacteria
Description: partial 16S ribosomal RNA
Rfam family: Bacterial small subunit ribosomal RNA
Source: RNAcentral
UACGAAGGGGGCUAGCGUUGCUCGGAAUGACUGGGCGUAAAGGGCGCGUAGGCGGAUGGCACAGUCAGAUGUGAAAUUCCCGGGCUUAACCUGGGAGCUGCAUUUGAUACGUGUGAUCUAGAGUGAGGAAGAGGGUCGUGGAAUUCCCAGUGUAGAGGUGAAAUUCGUAGAUAUUGGGAAGAACACCGGUGGCGAAGGCGGCCCGCUGGGCAGUAGCUGACGCUGAGGCGCGACAGCGUGGGGAGCAAACAGG